Molecule: transfer RNA, 72 nt
Organism: Blumeria graminis f. sp. tritici 96224
Lineage: Eukaryota; Fungi; Ascomycota; Leotiomycetes; Helotiales; Erysiphaceae
Rfam family: tRNA
About the family: Transfer RNA (tRNA) molecules are approximately 80 nucleotides in length. Their secondary structure includes four short double-helical elements and three loops (D, anti-codon, and T loops).
Source: Rfam
AGCAUUAUGGCGCAGCGGAAGCGCGCCGGGCUCAUAACCCGGAGGUCUCUGGAUCGAAACCAGAUAAUGCUA